ACUCAAAGGAAUAGACGGGGGCCCGCACAAGCGGUGGAGCAUGUGGUUUAAUUCGACGCAACGCGAAGAACCUUACCAAGUCUUGACAUUUACAUGAAAGGCCAAGAGAUUGGUCCCCCCUUCGGGGCAUGUGAACAGGUGGUGCAUGGUUGUCGUCAGCUCGUGUCGUGAGAUGUUGGGUUAAGUCCCGCAACGAGCGCAACCCUUGUUGUUAGUUGCCAUCAUUAAGUUGGGCACUCUAAUGAGACUGCCGGUGACAAACCGGAGGAAGGUGGGGACGACGUCAAAUCAUCAUGCCCUUUAUGACUUGGGCUACACACGUGCUACAAUGGCCUGUACAGAGGGAAGCCAAGGAGUGAUCUGGAGCAAAUCCCAAAAAGCAGGUCCCAGUUCGGAUUGCAGGCUGCAACUCGCCUGCAUGAAGUCGGAAUCGCUAGUAAUCGCAGAUCAGCACGCUGCGGUGAAUACGUUCCCGGGCCUUGCACACACCGCCCGU
This 496-nucleotide ribosomal RNA is filed under the name uncultured bacterium. RNAcentral describes it as "bacterial SSU rRNA". It matches the Rfam family "Bacterial small subunit ribosomal RNA", at positions 899 to 1397 of the family's 1533-position model. The record is from RNAcentral.